GACGAACGCUGGCGGCGUGCUUAACACAUGCAAGUCGAGCGGUAAGGCCCUUUCGGGGGUACACGAGCGGCGAACGGGUGAGUAACACGUGGGUGACCUGCCCUCAGCUCUGGGAUAAGCCUGGGAAACCGGGUCUAAUACUGGAUAUGACUCCAUGACGCAUGUUGUGGGGUGGAAAGCCUUGUGCGGCUGAGGAUGGGCCCGCGGCCUAUCAGCUUGUUGGUGGGGUGAUGGCCUACCAAGGCGACGACGGGUAGCCGGCCUGAGAGGGCGACCGGCCACACUGGGACUGAGACACGGCCCAGACUCCUACGGGAGGCAGCAGUGGGGAAUAUUGGGCAAUGGGCGCAAGCCUGACCCAGCGACGUCGCGUUGGGGAAGAAGGCC
RNAcentral lists this ribosomal RNA (387 nucleotides) under uncultured bacterium. RNAcentral's name for it is "bacterial SSU rRNA". It matches the Rfam family "Bacterial small subunit ribosomal RNA", at positions 28 to 416 of the family's 1533-position model. The record is from RNAcentral.